AUACGGAGGAUGCAAGCGUUAUCCGGAUUUAUUGGGUUUAAAGGGUGCGUAGGCGGAUGAUUAAGCGUGAGGUGAAAUGCCACUGCUCAACAGUGGAACUGCCUCGCGAACUGGUUGUCUUGAAUGCUCCUGCCGUGGGAGGAAUGUGUGGUGUAGCGGUGAAAUGCAUAGAGAUCACACAGAACACCGAUUGCGAAGGCAUCUCACGAAGGGGUGAUUGACGCUGAGGCACGAAAGCGUGGGGAUCAAACAGGAUUAGAUACCCUGGUAGUCCACGCAGUAAACGAUGAUAACUAACCGCUGGGUCGUAGUGAUUCAGUGGCCAAGCGAAAGCGAUAAGUGAUCCACCUGGGGAGUACGACCGCAAGGUUGAAACUCAAAUGAAUUGGCGGGG
RNAcentral lists this ribosomal RNA (394 nucleotides) under uncultured bacterium. RNAcentral describes it as "partial 16S ribosomal RNA". It matches the Rfam family "Bacterial small subunit ribosomal RNA", at positions 523 to 918 of the family's 1533-position model. The record is from RNAcentral.